GACGAACGCUGGCGGCGUGCUUAACACAUGCAAGUCGAACGGAAAGGCCCUGCUUUUGUGGGGUGCUCGAGUGGCGAACGGGUGAGUAACACGUGAGUAACCUGCCUUUGACCUUGGGAUAACUUCAGGAAACUGGGGCUAAUACCGGAUAGGAGCUCCUGCUGCAUGGUGGGGGCUGGAAAGUUUCGGUGGUUGGGGAUGGACUCGGGGCUUAUCAGCUUGUUGGUGGGGUAGUGGCUUACCAAGGCUUUGACGGGUAGCCGGCCUGAGAGGGUGACCGGCCACAUUGGGACUGGGAUACGGCCAGGACUCCUACGGGAGGCAGCAGUGGGGAAUAUUGCACAAUGGGCGGAAGCCUGAUGCAGCAACGCCGCGUGCGGGAUGACGGCCUUCGGGUUGUAAACCGCUUUCGCCUGUGACGAAGCGUGAGUGACGGUAAUGGGUAAAGAAGCACCGGCUAACUACGUG
RNAcentral lists this ribosomal RNA (468 nucleotides) under uncultured bacterium. RNAcentral describes it as "partial 16S ribosomal RNA". It matches the Rfam family "Bacterial small subunit ribosomal RNA", at positions 28 to 507 of the family's 1533-position model. The record is from RNAcentral.